RNAcentral lists this ribosomal RNA (335 nucleotides) under uncultured eukaryote. RNAcentral's name for it is "partial 18S ribosomal RNA". It matches the Rfam family "Eukaryotic small subunit ribosomal RNA", at positions 1469 to 1796 of the family's 1831-position model. The record is from RNAcentral.
ACCCUUAGAUGUUCUGGGCUGCACGCGCGCUACACUGAAGGACUCAACGUGCUUGUCUCCUUGGCCGUCAGGUCUGGGUAACCCGUUGAACCUCCUUCGUGCUAGGGAUUGGGGCUUGUAAUUAUUCCCCAUGAACGAGGAAUUCCCAGUAAGCGCGAGUCAUCAUCUCGCGUUGAUUACGUCCCUGCCCUUUGUACACACCGCCCGUCGCUACUACCGAUUGAAUGGUUUAGUGAGAUCCUCGGAUUGGCCAUCUCGGCGUGACUUCGGUUGUGCACGUGGUGGCCGAGAAGACGAUCAAACUUGAUCAUUUAGAGGAAGUAAAAGUCGUANCA